This 483-nucleotide ribosomal RNA is filed under the name uncultured bacterium. RNAcentral's name for it is "partial 16S ribosomal RNA". It matches the Rfam family "Bacterial small subunit ribosomal RNA", at positions 29 to 523 of the family's 1533-position model. The record is from RNAcentral.
AGUGAACGCUGGCGGCGUGCUUAACACAUGCAAGUCGAACGAGAACGGAUUAUAGCUUGCUAUAAUUGUCAGCUAGUGGCGCACGGGUGAGUAAUGUAUAGGUAAUAUGCCUCUUACUAAGGGAUAACAAAUGGAAACGUUUGCUAAUACCUUAUACUCCUUAUUAACAGAAGUUAAUAAGGGAAAGAUUUAUUGGUAAGAGAUUAGCCUGUAUUGUAUCAGUUAGUUGGUGGGGUAAUGGCUUACCAAGACUAUGACACAUAACUGGUUUGAGAGGAUGAUCAGUCACACUGGAACUGAGACACGGUCCAGACUCCUACGGGAGGCAGCAGUGGGGAAUAUUGCACAAUGGACGAAAGUCUGAUGCAGCAACACCGCGUGGAGGAUGACACAUUUCGGUGCGUAAACUCCUUUUAUAUGAGAAGAUAAUGACGGUAUUAUAUGAAUAAGCACCGGCUAACUCCGUGCCAGCCGCCGCGGUAA